Molecule: non-coding RNA, 107 nt
Organism: Orbilia ellipsospora
Lineage: Eukaryota; Fungi; Ascomycota; Orbiliomycetes; Orbiliales; Orbiliaceae
Source: the annotation of a GenBank genome assembly
GCUUGGGUAGUUCAGUGGCAGAAUUCUCGCUUCGGGUUGAUCACCCGCUGGUGUCAAACACAAGUCUGAAGUGUGAGAGGUCGUGGGUUCAACUCCCACCUCAAGCC